This 378-nucleotide ribosomal RNA is filed under the name uncultured bacterium. RNAcentral describes it as "bacterial SSU rRNA". It matches the Rfam family "Bacterial small subunit ribosomal RNA", at positions 28 to 407 of the family's 1533-position model. The record is from RNAcentral.
GACGAACGCUGGCGGCGUGCUUAACACAUGCAAGUCGAGCGGUAAGGCCCUUUCGGGGGUACACGAGCGGCGAACGGGUGAGUAACACGUGGGUGACCUGCCCUCAGCUCUGGGGAUAAGCCCGGGAAACUGGGUCUAAUACUGGAUAUGACUCCAUGGCGCAUGUUGUGGGGUGAAAGCCUUGUGCGGCUGAGGAUGGGCCCGCGGCCUAUCAGCUUGUUGGUGGGGNGAUGGCCUACCAAGGCGACGACGGGUAGCCGGCCUGAGAGGGCGACCGGCCACACUGGGACUGAGACACGGCCCAGACUCCUACGGGAGGCAGCAGUGGGGAAUCUUGCGCAAUGGGCGAAAGCCUGACGCAGCGACGCCGCGUGAGGG